This 591-nucleotide long non-coding RNA is filed under the name Marmota monax (woodchuck). Lineage: Eukaryota; Metazoa; Chordata; Mammalia; Rodentia; Sciuridae. The record is from RNAcentral.
GGGGCUGGAGAUGCAGUACUGGCGGCAGAUUAGGAAAAACGUUUUGUGAUGGUGCGGGAAGCUUCCGCCUUCCUAUCCCCACUUACCGAAUCUGGGGCUCCUGGAAUCCCAUUUCACUGGGGCCAGGCAGCUCGUCUACGAAGCUGGGGAGAGACACCCCCCACCCCGCGCGCGCGCCUACCUGGGAAUCCUCGCAUCCGGGAUCCUCCCCGCACACCUUCAUCCCAGCUGUGGGGCCGAAGCCCUCAAAGGUCCCUGAGGGGGACCCGUCUUUCCUGGGGAGCCAGGGAAGCCCCACCAUCUAGAUUCCCUCCAGUGCGCCUGGUCCCCCUACCCACCACACCUCGCCACCCAAAGCUUACCUUGUUGGGGGUCUGGGGAGGGGAUGCCCCGCCCUCUCCGGCCUCGAGGGCGGGAGGGGACAGAGGUGUCCAGACCCUUUGUUUGCUGGUGUGUGAGUGUGUGUGAAUGUGUGUGCGCGAUUGUGAGACCCGCUGGAUGUAGGUUCGUGCGCGCGCGUGCCUGGGCCGUGACUGCCGCUGGGGCUGGACUGACCGGGCUGUACCGGGAGGGGAAAGAGAAGGGGACUCC